GGUUCAGGAUGAACGCUGGCGGCGUGCUUAACACAUGCAAGUUGCGCGGUGAUCUCAAGAAGUUUCGGACGGAAAGGGGAGAGCAGCAGCGGACGGGUGAGUAAAGCACAAGGACUUGUCCCGAAGAGGGGGACAACUGUGGGAAACCACAGCUAAUACCCCAUAAGCCGAGAGGUGAAAGCAGUAAUGCGCUUUAGGAGAGACUUGUGUCCUAUCAGGUAGUUGGUGAGGUAACGGCUCACCAAGCCGAAGACGGGUAGCCGGACUGAGAGGUUGUACGGCCACAUUGGAACUGAGAGACGGUCCAGACUCCUACGGGAGGCAGCAGUGGGGAAUAUUGGGCAAGUGGGGGCAACCCUCGACCCAGCGACGCCGCGUGAGGGAAGACAGCCUUCGGGUUAUAAACCUCUGUUGCAGGGGAAGAAGAAAGUGACGGUACCCUGCGAGGAAGCUCCGGCAAACUACGUGCCAGCCGCCGC
This 479-nucleotide ribosomal RNA is filed under the name uncultured bacterium. RNAcentral describes it as "bacterial SSU rRNA". It matches the Rfam family "Bacterial small subunit ribosomal RNA", at positions 21 to 518 of the family's 1533-position model. The record is from RNAcentral.